Molecule: long non-coding RNA, 1680 nt
Filed under: Mus musculus (house mouse)
Lineage: Eukaryota; Metazoa; Chordata; Mammalia; Rodentia; Muridae
Description: novel transcript
Source: RNAcentral
GGCUUCUUGAUCCUAUGUGUUGUAUUGAGUGUUGGUCACUGGUCUUUGGGAAGCUUGGACAGAAGUGGGGCAGCCAUGGAGCUGCUGACUGGGACUGGCCUGUGGCCCGUGGUCAUAGUCACAGUCAUCUUCAUAUUACUGGUGGACAUGUUGCACCGGUGCCAGCGCUGGACUUCUUGCUGCCCACCAGACCCUGUGCCAUGGCCUGUGCUGGGUAACCUGCUGCAGGUGGACCUGGAUAACAUGCCAUAUAACUUGUACAAGCUUCACAACCGCUAUGGUGACGUGUUCAGCCUGCAGAUGGGCUGGAACCACAUGGCCGUGAUCAACGGACUGAAGGUGUGGUCCUUGCUCCUUAUGGGCCUGAGUGGAAAGAGCAGAGGUGAUUCUCUGCGUCGACCCUGUGCAACUUCAGCCUGGGCAAGAAAUCACUGGAGCAGUGGGUGAUGGAAGAGGUUGGACACCUCUUUGAUGUCUUCACUGCCCAUGCUGAGGAGGCUGUAGACAAGAGAUUUGGAAAGAACACAUCUAGAAGUGUCCACCACAGUAAUAGGAGCCUGGAGAUUGACAUACAGCAAAAGGAAGUGAGAAGCUGACCAAGGUCAGGGCUUCUAGAAGCUGAGACCCUGGCCCUCUGCCCACAUGGAACAUCUGUGAGAUUUUCCAGGUUCUGAACACAUUCCCAAUUCUCCUACGCAUCCCAGGGUUGGCUGACAAAGUCUUCCCUGGGCAAAAGACAUUUCUCAUAAUGGUGGAUAAGCUGGUGACUGAGCACAAGAGGACCUGGAACUCGGACCAGCCGCCUCGAGACCUGACUGAUGCCUUUAUGGCUGAGAUGGAGAAGGCAAAGGGAAACCCUGAGAGUAGCUUCAAUGAUGCAAAUCUAUGUCUGGUUGUCCUUGACCUGCUGGGUGCUGCAACUGUGACCACCUCAACCACACUGUCCUGGGCCCUGCUGCUUAUGAUCCUGCAUCCGGAUGUGCAGUGUGAGCCUGGCUGGGGCUGUCAAGAAAGGAGGAGGAGGGUAGAGGCAAACUCCUUAAACUUACUUGGGACACUUGUAGAUCCCAGCAUUGAGUUAACCCAGACUGCAGCCAAGUACAACAGGAAAUCGAUGAGGUCAUUUGGUAUGUGUGGCUUCCAGAGAUGGCAGACCAGGUCUGCAUGCCCUUCACCAAUGCUGUCAUUCAUGAGGGCAUGACUCUCAUCUCCAACCUGUUCCGUGCUGAAGGAUGAGACUGUCUGGGAGAAGCCCCUUCGCUUCCAUCCUGAACACUUCCUGGAUGCCCAGGGCCACUUUGUGAAGCCUGAGGCCUUCAUGCCAUUCUCAGCAGGUGCCUCUAGGGUGCCUUCCUGCCUAUCUUUCCCUAGGGUGCCUUGGAGGGUGGAGCACCAAUCAGGUCCCAGACUGAGCCCUCUUCUACACAUAGGCCACAGAUCAUGCCUGGGGGAGCCCCUGGCCCUCAUGGAGCUCUUCCUCUUCUUCACCUGCCUCCUGCAGCGCUUUAGCUUCUCAAUGCCAGCUGGACAAUCCCUUCCCAGUGAUUAUGGCAUCUAUACAAUGCCAGUUACUCCAGCACCUACCAGCUCUGUGCAGUGGUUUGCUAGCAGGGGCAGUGGCUCCAGCCAUCAUCACAGAUUGUUCUGACUGAUGUCCAAUAAACAAGUUUUGUGUCUGAA